AGUGAACGCUGGCGGUAGGCCUAACACAUGCAAGUCGAACGGCAGCACAGUAAGAGCUUGCUCUUACGGGUGGCGAGUGGCAGACGGGUGAGGAAUACAUCGGAAUCUACUUUUUCGUGGGGGAUAACGUAGGGAAACUUACGCUAAUACCGCAUACGACCUACGGGUGAAAGCAGGGGAUCUUCGGACCUUGCGCGAUUGAAUGAGCCGAUGUCGGAUUAGCUAGUUGGCGGGGUAAAGGCCCACCAAGGCGACGAUCCGUAGCUGGUCUGUGAGGAUGAUCAGCCACACUGGAACUGAGACACGGUCCAGACUCCUACGGGAGGCAGCAGUGGGGAAUAUUGGACAAUGGGCGCAAGCCUGAUCCAGCCAUACCGCGUGGGUGAAGAAGGCCUUCGGGUUGUAAAGCCCUUUUGUUGGGAAAGAAAAGCAGCAGGUUAAUACCCCGCUGUUCUGACGGUACCCAAAGAAUAAGCACCGGCUAACUUCGUG
This 492-nucleotide ribosomal RNA is filed under the name uncultured bacterium. RNAcentral's name for it is "partial 16S ribosomal RNA". It matches the Rfam family "Bacterial small subunit ribosomal RNA", at positions 29 to 507 of the family's 1533-position model. The record is from RNAcentral.